This 300-nucleotide unclassified non-coding RNA is filed under the name uncultured Crinipellis. RNAcentral describes it as "sequence contains 5.8S rRNA gene, ITS2". The stretch from base 1 to 71 matches the Rfam family "5.8S ribosomal RNA", at positions 84 to 154 of the family's 154-position model. Lineage: Eukaryota; Fungi; Basidiomycota; Agaricomycetes; Agaricales; Tricholomataceae. The record is from RNAcentral.
GUGAGUCAUCGAAUCUUUGAACGCACCUUGCGCCCCUUGGUAUUCCGAGGGGCAUGCCUGUUUGAGUGUCAUUAAAUUCUCAACCUCAUAAGCUUUUGUUUAUUGAGGAUUGGAUGUGAGGGUUGCUGGCUUGUAACAGAGUUCAGCUCCCUUGAAAUGUAUUAGUGGACUUAGCCGUUUGUGGGCCACAUUGGUGUGAUAAUUAUCUACGCCUUUAUGGUUUGCAGCUUGGGAGGUUGCAAUGUAACAGUUGCUCUUCCUGUUGUCAAGUGCUGUCCGCUUCGAACCGUCCUAAGUUAU